UCGCUCUCUGACUCUGAAUAAAAAUCGCAGUUUAUAAUACGUAUUGGGAACACUGAUACGAUUGGGAACCGUAGAAUUUGUAUAUAGAUGCCAUUACGCCAAUGCAAAAUGGGUUACACACUUUAAUACACUUGAUCCAAUUUUGAUUGGGGCUAUGGUCUACAUUUCGUAGACCAUAGCCCCGUAUAAAAUGGGCCAAGUAUAAAAUUGGCCAAGUAUAAAAUGGGCUGUGAUAGUUAUAUCAUAGAAUAGGAAGGUAUACCAGAAGUCUCACUCAAGCAAGUAUUUGUCCG
Paramuricea clavata is the source of this 293-nucleotide non-coding RNA. The record is from the annotation of a GenBank genome assembly. Lineage: Eukaryota; Metazoa; Cnidaria; Anthozoa; Malacalcyonacea; Plexauridae.